GGUGGUUUGUCGCGUCGUCUGUGAAAUCCCGGGGCUUAACCUCGGGCGUGCAGGCGAUACGGGCAUAACUUGAGUGCUGUAGGGGAGACUGGAAUUCCUGGUGUAGCGGUGAAAUGCGCAGAUAUCAGGAGGAACACCAAUGGCGAAGGCAGGUCUCUGGGCAGUAACUGACGCUGAGGAGCGAAAGCAUGGGUAGCGAACAGGAUUAGAUACCCUGGUAGUCCAUGCCGUAAACGGUGGGCGCUAUGUGUAGGGGACUUCCACGUCUUCUGUGCCGCAGCUAACGCAUUAAGCGCCCCGCCUGGGGAGUACGGCCGCAAGGCUAAAACUCAAAGGAAUUGACGGGGGCCCGCACAAGCGGCGGAGCAUGUGGAUUAAUUCGAUGCAACACGAAGAACCGUACCUGGGCUUGACAUACACCAGAUCGCUGCAGAGAUGUAGCUUCCCUUGUGGCUGGUGUACAGGUGGUGCAUGGUUGUCGUCAGCUCGUGUCGUGAGAUGUUGGGUUAAGUCCCGCAACGAGCGCAACCCUUGUCUUAUGUUGCCAUCACGUGAUGGUGGGCACUCAUGAGAGACUGCCGGGGUUAACUCGGAGGAAGGUGGGGAUGACGUCAAAUCAUCAUGCCCCUUAUGUCCAGGGCUUCACACAUGCUACAAUGGUCGGUACAGCGAGUUGCCACACCGUGAGGUGGAGCUAAUCUCUCAAAGCCGGCCUCAGUUCGGAUUGGGGUCUGCAACUCGACCCCAUGAAGUCGGAGUCGCUAGUAAUCGCAGA
Molecule: ribosomal RNA, 775 nt
Filed under: uncultured bacterium
Lineage: Bacteria
Description: bacterial SSU rRNA
Rfam family: Bacterial small subunit ribosomal RNA
Source: RNAcentral